Molecule: ribosomal RNA, 253 nt
Filed under: uncultured prokaryote
Description: partial 16S ribosomal RNA
Rfam family: Bacterial small subunit ribosomal RNA
Source: RNAcentral
UACGGAGGGUGCGAGCGUUAUUCGGAAUUACUGGGCGUAAAGCGCGUGUAGGCGGGGGGAUAAGUCUGAUGUGAAAGCCCUGGGCUUAACCUGGGAAGUGCAUUGGAAACUGGUUGUCUUGAGUACUGGAGAGGGGGGUGGAAUUCCAGGUGUAGAGGUGAAAUGCGUAGAGAUCGGGAGGAAUACCAGUGGCGUAGGCGCCCUUCUGGACGGUAACUGACGCUGAGACGCGAAAGCGUGGGGAGCAAACAGG